GUACCCACAAUUACUUGGAUAACUGUGGUAAUUCUAGAGCUAAUACAUGCAAACAGAGCUCCGACCGGAGACGGAAGGAGUGCUUUUAUUAGAUCAAAACCAAUCGGUGGCGAGUUCGCUCGUCAUCGUACAACUUGGUGACUCUGAAUAACUUUACGCUGAUCGCACGGUCUCGCACCGGCGACGCAUCUUUCAAAUGUCUGCCUUAUCAACUGUCGAUGGUAGGUUCUGCGCCUACCAUGGUUGUAACGGGUAACGGGGAAUCAGGGUUCGAUUCCGGAGAGGGAGCCUGAGAAACGGCUACCACAUCCAAGGAAGGCAGCAGGCGCGCAAAUUACCCACUCCCGGCACGGGGAGGUAGUGACGAAAAAUAACGAUACGGG
This 383-nucleotide ribosomal RNA is filed under the name Celeuthetini gen. 1 sp. 1 MB-2015. RNAcentral describes it as "SSU rRNA". It matches the Rfam family "Eukaryotic small subunit ribosomal RNA", at positions 124 to 489 of the family's 1831-position model. RNAcentral also lists the same sequence under 19 other names. The record is from RNAcentral. Lineage: Eukaryota; Metazoa; Arthropoda; Insecta; Coleoptera; Curculionidae.